UGGGGAAUAUUGCGCAAUGGGCGAAAGCCUGACGCAGCGACGCCGCGUGAGGGAUGAAGGUUUUCGGAUCGUAAACCUCUGUCAGAAGGGAAGAAACCGCACUGUGCUAAUCAGCAGUGCCUCGACGGUACCUUCAAAGGAAGCACCGGCUAACUCCGUGCCAGCAGCCGCGGUAAUACGGAGGGUGCAAGCGUUAAUCGGAAUUACUGGGCGUAAAGCGCACGUAGGCUGCUUUGUAAGUCAGGGGUGAAAUCCCACGGCUCAACCGUGGAACUGCCUUUGAUACUGCUUAGCUUGAAUCCGGGAGAGGGUGGCGGAAUUCCAGGUGUAGGAGUAAAAUCCGUAGAUAUCUGGAGGAACAACAGUGGCGAAGGCGGCCACCUGGACCGGUAUUGACGCUGAGGUGCGAAAACGUGGGGAGCAAACAGG
This 429-nucleotide ribosomal RNA is filed under the name Fusobacteriota bacterium. RNAcentral describes it as "Fusobacteria bacterium partial 16S ribosomal RNA". It matches the Rfam family "Bacterial small subunit ribosomal RNA", at positions 355 to 776 of the family's 1533-position model. The record is from RNAcentral. Lineage: Bacteria; Fusobacteriati; Fusobacteriota.